Molecule: transfer RNA, 72 nt
Filed under: Danionella translucida
Lineage: Eukaryota; Metazoa; Chordata; Actinopteri; Cypriniformes; Danionidae
Also listed under: 1 other name
Rfam family: tRNA
About the family: Transfer RNA (tRNA) molecules are approximately 80 nucleotides in length. Their secondary structure includes four short double-helical elements and three loops (D, anti-codon, and T loops).
Source: Rfam by way of RNAcentral
GGCUCGUUGGUCUAGGGGCAUGAUUCUCCUUUUGGGUGUGAGAGGUCCCAGGUUCAAAUCCAGGAUGAGCCC